Molecule: ribosomal RNA, 2014 nt
Filed under: Triticum aestivum (bread wheat)
Lineage: Eukaryota; Viridiplantae; Streptophyta; Magnoliopsida; Poales; Poaceae
Description: partial small subunit ribosomal RNA
Source: RNAcentral
GGUCUAUUGUGGAAGGGACAAUGAAAGGAGGGAUCCGUUGGGUGCAUGCGCUGGAGGGAGAGAGAGCACAGGAGAAGGUAGAUUCGGCGGCGGUGUUCGUAGCGGUCGCCCUCUCCUCGAUCGAGGCAAGAGGGUGGUUGAAGCAGCGGUGUUCUCUACUCUCCCAGCCUCCUCUUCCGCCGCCGCCGCAACCAAAGCUAGACACUAGACGGAGCUACACCCUCCGCCGCCUAGCUAAGCCAGCUUCAACAACAGCCUCCACGACCCACCAUCCUCGUGGUGGGCUGCCGGGACCACUUGCUGCUACCCCGGUGGACUCCUCCCGCCGCUCAAACAACUGCUGACGUUGCUCUCGAGCAGCCUAGGCAGUAGCCGCAGCAAGAAGACGAACUCUGUCGGCAGCAGAUGCACUGGAGGAGCGGCGGUGCCCACCUGCGACUAAACAGUAUGUGCUUGUUCCUUGUGUGCCGACCUCUUGUACUGUACCUCCUAGACCUAGGACCGUUUAUUCCUCCUCCUACUCUUGACUUCGUACCUAGACAUGAUACGAUAGACCUAAACACUAGAAUAAGUACCUUUGUCACUUUUAUCGCUCAUGGCCAGUAAUAAACCAGGGUCAUACGUGUCGAAUUAAAUUAAAAGUAAAACGUUUAAGUUUCCACCGACUCCUGACACUAAAACACCUGGAUGGUCAGGGAUCCUUUAAUUCUAGUACAUGACUAACGACAGAGUAUUUUGAUCCUUGUACCUGUUGAAACAGGGAAAGAGAAAGGUAGAAAUGGAUAACUAAACGACUAACGUAUCCUCGUACACACCUUUUACCAAAAGUUUAAACUACCGAUUGGUUGUUUAUAUAAACACACAAAAUGUUUGAUUAUAACAUUAUAAAAAAUUGUUGUUUAGAUUGAAUUGGACAGAGACUUACAUAAUAACUACAAUCACAAAGAUUGGAGCCCUGUAAGUGCGUAACCUACAAAAGAAUUCGGUAACCGUCUCGUGGUUUAAGUGUAGAGUUAUAACUCAGAGGAUGAAAGUCCAAAAUCGGUAUGUGUUAGUACGGCCAGCCUGGCAAGGGAGCAGUGACGCCGUACGGUUCUUCUCCGUUGUAGAAAGUCGAUAUUCACGAGUCUAAAAAGACUGCCCAGUACUUUGUUCUUGGCUACUCUGCUACUCAACGUUUGGAAGGACUUUAACACAUGUUCUGGAUUUCUGGGUUGCCAGACCAGAAAGGGUAAGAACCGGUAGCCCUCCUUCGUCUCGUCGACGGUCGCCGGCCCCUCCACCCCGCCACCUACUCUCCUUCGCCGACGCUCGUGCGUGGCCAACACGUGGAGCUCCCUCCUAACCCACCCUCCUCUCCACCACCGCCAUCAAAGUUAUACACUAGACGGUGGCCGCGGCGGUGUUCCUACCUACCGUUCUAGUCUCCACUCGGGGGAGGGCACGCGGCCGCAGCCACUCCCAGCCCUCGUGGUGGUUCGGCAAGGCGCCAGGCGGAGGCCGAAGAGACUAGUUACUCGUUGUAGAGAUAUUGACUUAUGUUAUUACUUCGACGUAAACAAAAGUACCUACCGAGAAGAGAGUAGUCCGUCGUGGUUUAACCCAACAGACUGUACGAAACGUUACAAUCACGACCAGACUUCGAAAAGAUCUUCGUAAACACACAAGAGUACGAGUCCUCAAUGUUCCUCGUUACCACGAUACCAGAUAUUGAAGGUGAGUAGAAGAUGGCUUCUUACUAGGAAUCGAAUCAAUGAAUCGAACUACAGAAAAAAGCUCCUAUCCAAACCUCAACGUAGGCGAAAACAGAUCCAACCAUGAAGCUGGUCUUAAGCGUACUGUGAUAUACGGUUCUAAUCAACAACAUGAAGGAGAUUACGUACUGACUUACCUUUGCUGACUAAAUAAAAAGAACAUUAUACACUUGGUACAUGACGUAGUUGUGAGUUACAUCUAGCACGAAAGUUAACCGACUCGUGUUCUUGUUAACUGUAUAACACAUAGUGGUUAUCGU